AAUCAACGCUGGCGGCGUGCCUAACACAUGCAAGUCGCACGAGAAAGGGUAGCAAUACCUGAGUAAAGUGGCGCACGGGUGAGUAACACGUGACUAAUCUACCCUCGAGUGGGGAAUAACUGAGAGAAAUCUUAGCUAAUACCGCAUAACACUUACGAGUCAAAGCAGCAAUGCGCUUGGGGAGGAGGUCGCGGCAGAUUAGCUAGUUGGUGGGGUAANGGCCCACCAAGGCAAUGAUCUGUAUCCGGCCUGAGAGGGCGCACGGACAUACUGGAACUGAAACACGGUCCAGACUCCUACGGGAGGCAGCAGUGGGGAAUUUUGCGCAAUGGGGGAAACCCUGACGCAGCAACGCCGCGUGGAGGAUGAAAUCCCUUGGGAUGUAAACUCCUUUCGAUAGGGAAGAUAAUGACGGUACCUAUAGAAGAAGCCCGGCUAACUUCGU
This 445-nucleotide ribosomal RNA is filed under the name uncultured bacterium. RNAcentral's name for it is "bacterial SSU rRNA". It matches the Rfam family "Bacterial small subunit ribosomal RNA", at positions 32 to 506 of the family's 1533-position model. The record is from RNAcentral.